GACAGAGGGUGCAAACGUUGUUCGGAAUUACUGGGCGUAAAGAGUGUGUAGGCGGUGCUCUAAGUUCGGUGUGAAAUCUCCCGGCUUAACUGGGAGGGUGCGCCGGAAACUGGAGUGCUUGAGCGCGGGAGAGGAAAGCGGAAUUCCUGGUGUAGCGGUGAAAUGCGCAGAUAUCAAGAGGAACACCAGUGGCGAAGGCGAGUCCCUGGACAAAUCCUGACACUGAGGCACGAAAGCUAGGGGAGCAAACAGG
Molecule: ribosomal RNA, 253 nt
Filed under: uncultured bacterium
Lineage: Bacteria
Description: partial 16S ribosomal RNA
Rfam family: Bacterial small subunit ribosomal RNA
Source: RNAcentral